Molecule: non-coding RNA, 368 nt
Organism: Meleagris gallopavo (turkey)
Lineage: Eukaryota; Metazoa; Chordata; Aves; Galliformes; Phasianidae
Source: RefSeq, a predicted model, not a curated record
CUGGUGCCAACUAUGACAUGCUAUUUGGCCACAUACCUGAUUUCCCUCUCCUGUCAAUCUGAUCUUUGCCAUGGCUGACCUUUCUGUCGGACCGAGUCUUUUGGCUUGACGUCCGUGAUGUGGUGAGGUAAAAGAAGGGCUGCAUUUACCAGAGUGCCAGAGCAGAGGAACACCCGCACCAUGCAGCGGUUGAAGACCUUGAGUGGGAGGACUUCCUGCUGUUUUGGAACCAAACUGCUGAGCAACAGAAAUGCAGUCUCGUCCACAGCUCUAGACUGUCAGACCGUUCCAUUUUGUGAUAUUUAAACAAGGCUCCAACAAGGAGGUAAAUGGCUCCAGUGAGGACAUUUGCCAGCAGCUCUGCUCUA